Molecule: ribosomal RNA, 505 nt
Filed under: uncultured bacterium
Lineage: Bacteria
Description: partial 16S ribosomal RNA
Rfam family: Bacterial small subunit ribosomal RNA
Source: RNAcentral
UUGAACGCUGGCGGCAUGCCUUACACAUGCAAGUCGAACGGCAGCACAGAGGAGCUUGCUCCUUGGGUGGCGAGUGGCGGACGGGUGAGGAAUACAUCGGAAUCUACUCUUUCGUGGGGGAUAACGUAGGGAAACUUACGCUAAUACCGCAUACGACCUUCGGGUGAAAGCAGGGGAUCGCAAGACCUUGCGCGAUUGAAUGAGCCGAUGUCGGAUUAGCUAGUUGGCGGGGUAAAGGCCCACCAAGGCGACGAUCCGUAGCUGGUCUGAGAGGAUGAUCAGCAACACUGGAACUGAGACACGGUCCAGACUCCUACGGGAGGCAGCAGUGGGGAAUAUUGGACAAUGGGCGCAAGCCUGAUCCAGCCAUACCGCGUGGGUGAAGAAGGCCUUCGGGUUGUAAAGCCCUUUUGUUGGGAAAGAAAAGCACACGGUUAAUACCCGAGUGUUCUGACGGUACCCAAAGAAUAAGCACCGGCUAACUUCGUGCCAGCCGCCGCCGUAA